RNAcentral lists this ribosomal RNA (1353 nucleotides) under Triticum aestivum (bread wheat). RNAcentral's name for it is "partial small subunit ribosomal RNA". The record is from RNAcentral. Lineage: Eukaryota; Viridiplantae; Streptophyta; Magnoliopsida; Poales; Poaceae.
AUGUUCUCCCACCAAGGUGUUGAAUUUGAAUCCUACCGAGUUGAACGAUGUCACACUGAUGGAACAAACACAAAUGAUCCUCAUGAUAGGGUUUACAUUAACCUUCCCAGAAAUCACCACGUCCUUAGGAAAGUUAGGGACUGCCUCCACUGUGGAGCAUUGCGGUUUCAAUACGAGGGACCUGCAUUUUGUUGCAGAAAGGGGAAAGUAGGUUUAUUUACACCCGAGGUUCCGGACGAGUUGAAACGGUUGUUCACAAGUCAAUGUGAUGACGAUGCUAAAUAUUUUCGAGACAAUAUACGAUACUUCAACUCUCACUUCUCAUUCACAAGUCUUGGAGUCACCCUUGAUCGUCGAGUAAGCACUGCGGCACGAACCGGCGUAUAUACCUUCCGUGCAUGUGGGGGGUUGUACCACGCUCUUGAUGAUCUGGUGCCGGCUAAUAAUGGCCCUAGGCAUUUGCAGCUCUAUAUUUAUGAUACAGAUCAUAACUUGGUGCACAGGGCUAAGAGGUCUCCAGAUCUAAAUAUAGAUCUCAUACGGAAAAUUCUGCUAAUACUAGAGCCUAAACCUCAUGCGCAGGCUUUCAAGAGCCUUGGGUCUGUUCCGAAUCUAGAUGAGUACAAGAUCUCACUAAACACAGAUAUCAAGUUGGAUCAACGUACGUACAAUGCCCCAACGACUUCUCAGGUGGCAGCAAUAUGUGUUGAGGGGAGCCACCCACAAAAUUGUUUUGACAGGAGUGUUGUCGUGCAUGGCAAAAAAGGAGACCGACCCCUGUAUAUUAGAGCCUACUAUGGGUGCUAUGACCCAUUGUCAUAUCCAUUGUUUUUCCCACGUGGGGAGAGUGGUUGGAAUCGCUGGAUGCCGUAUGUUCAGGCCCCUGAUUACACCACCCAAGAUCCAGCACAUAAUUCUGGACCGCAAGAAAACCGGGCCUCUCAACUACAUACAGAUGGAAACUUGGUUAAUGGAAGGGAACAAUUUGGGAACUUUGUGCCAGCUGAAGACCGAGUAACUGAUUUACAUACAUAUGAUAAUUUGAUUAAUGAAAGGGAACAAGUUGGCAACUUUGUGCCAGAUGAAGACCAUGCCACUGGUGUACAUGCAGAUGAUAAUGAGGAUAACCAAGAUGAGGAUCUUGGUGACAAUGAGGUGAAUGCAACACAAUCCAGGAAAUUUGUUAGUGCGAGGGAGUACUACUGCUUCAAGCUACAGGCCAGGAAGAAGCUUUUUAACAUCAUCUUGUUCGGUGGGCGCCUUUUCCAACAGUGGGCUGUUGACAUGUAUAUCAAGAUUGAGACUAUGAGGCUGGACUGGUACUCAAAGCCAGAAAAUCAAAAGGUUAUAUGA